Molecule: long non-coding RNA, 278 nt
Filed under: Elaeis guineensis (African oil palm)
Lineage: Eukaryota; Viridiplantae; Streptophyta; Magnoliopsida; Arecales; Arecaceae
Description: long non-coding RNA (EGUI_LNC053824)
Source: RNAcentral
UGCCGAACCUCCCCAACACCAUCCGAAGUCCAUCGCCAGCCGACCCCCCGUCAGAUCCUUCAUGAAACCGAACUUCUCCAGCGGAUCAUCUUCGGAUGAGCUUCCACAUCAGGCGAAUCCCAGACGGACUUCUCUAGUAAUCAGAUUCCUACCAGGCUUUACCAAUGGAAAGUCUCCAUCCGAGCUUCUACAGCAGAUGACUCCCACCCGUAGUAUCAGUGCCUAAGGUAUCCGACAACAGUAGACUCGUUAGCAACCUUGGAGACAUCCGAGCUUCU